AACGAACGCUGGCGGCAUGCCUAACACAUGCAAGUCGAACGAUUGCCUUCGGGUGAUAGUGGCGCACGGGUGCGUAACGCGUGGGAAUCUGCCCUUCGGUUCGGAAUAACAGCUGGAAACGGCUGCUAAUACCGGAUGAUCUCGCGAGAUCAAAGAUUUAUUGCCUGAGGAUGAGCCCGCGUUGGAUUAGGUAGUUGGUGGGGUAAAGGCCUACCAAGCCGACGAUCCAUAGCUGGUCUGAGAGGAUGAUCAGCCACACUGGGACUGAGACACGGCCCAGACUCCUACGGGAGGCAGCAGUGGGGAAUAUUGGACAAUGGGCGCAAGCCUGAUCCAGCAAUGCCGCGUGAGUGAUGAAGGCCCUAGGGUUGUAAAGCUCUUUUGCCCGGGAAGAUAAUGACGGUACCGGGAGAAUAAGCCCCGGCUAACUCCGUG
Molecule: ribosomal RNA, 435 nt
Filed under: uncultured bacterium
Lineage: Bacteria
Description: partial 16S ribosomal RNA
Rfam family: Bacterial small subunit ribosomal RNA
Source: RNAcentral